Meleagris gallopavo (turkey) is the source of this 1809-nucleotide long non-coding RNA. RefSeq lists it as uncharacterized. The record is from RefSeq and is a predicted model, not a curated record. NCBI's taxonomy places the organism in Eukaryota, Metazoa, Chordata, Aves, Galliformes, Phasianidae.
CUGCUACUAAGAAAAGAUCUCUCUCUGGAGAUUGCUCCUUUUGGAAUUGUAUUCUGCAAGCCCAGGGCAAAGUUUUCUCAAGUGUUCUCCAGAAAGCUCCAUCUGAUGCAACUCUGGUUCCUCCUUCUCCUCGUUGAAUUGUGGCCACAAUCAGCUUCCCACAGCACUAGCACCUUAAGACACGUGGUUCUUGCAUGUGAGCAACCUCAUACGCAGAUCAAGAGGUCUUCAGGAGCAACAGAAGCCACAAUGAGCUGCUUCUGCAGUGCCACUGGCCGGAGCCAGCACAGGAGCAGUGCCAGUUGGCAGCCUGUUCUGCCUGAAAAGAGGAAGGGAUAGAAGGGGAACCUUCCGGCAUGGAGUUGUCUGGUGCUUUCUCUGUUUUUUGCUAAGCCGAGACAGAUUUAGAAACAAAAUGUUCAGAAAAAAAGGACUGGAAGGGUUUUCUGUAGAAAAAUAUUGCAAUGAAAUACUGUGCCUUGUCAAUUUUUUCCUUCAUGUUCUUGAGUGAAACUGUUGCUGGGAAUUUGACCUCAGGACCCAGAGAGUUUCUGUGAAUCGCAACUUACAUUUCAGGCAAGUGAGAUACCUACAAUAUGUCAGCACAAGACUGCUGGCCAUUUUCCCUACAAGAAUACUGAGCCCUCUCAUAUGUCGCUGAGAGAUUAGAGUGUAACUACUUCUGUUUGUUUUUUUUUUUUUGUUUUAAGCAAUUUCCUUUAGUGCUCAUUGAAUUGCUCCACGAUACACUGAGCAACUUGUUUUCAUAUUACUAAUGCAAUUCUGCUGGAUGAGAAAUUUGUCGCAAAGCGUAUUCUCGGUUUUAAUCAAGCUCUCUUGGCCAAGGAAAGAAAGAUAUUUGAUAGGAAGAUGGGGAAAUGAAUGCAAGGAAAAAGAUUUCUCUUUUCUGUCUACUAUCUGAAAAAUAAAAAUACAUAAUUUUAUUAUAAUUCAUAUAAUUCAUGUAAUUCUGCUGGCCUGGCUCUGCUGAGUGCCAGUUCCAGUCACAAAAUCUCAGGACUGUGGUGCUUUGAAGUCAACCGAGUUGCGCACGGGCAGUGCCAUAAAAAGAAGAAAAUAGUCAGAAAGAAAUGUAAAAGCCAUGUACACCAUUUAAUUGACAUGACUUUGGAAACGCCUAUGUGAGGCCUACGUGAGCAAAGUAAUUAAAGGUCAAGCACAAGGGAGAGCAGGAAGAAAACUGAGAAGUAGCAAUUAAUUUAAAAUAUUUUGAUGUUUCUCUGUGCAAAUUCCAUAAUUUUCCUAACACAACACAACCUAGAAGUAACAUUUUGCAGCUUCAGGAUGCUACUCUGUGCUGGAUACAGACACCUACCAAAUACAGUAUAUCUAAGAGAUGAAUAAAAGAAUCAAUUGUUUCAGCUUCGGCAUGAUGGUGAACUUUGGUGGCAUCCUACUAAAACACAUAACAUUUAUUGCCAUGAUAAACUGCUCUUGAGGGAGUGAUUUCCCUGCCCUCCCAGCUGGAGCUGUCGUGCUGCAAUGACAGAGUGGGUAAGGAAGGGACAGAACAAUAGCGAAGUCAAGGAGCUGGAGCCUGACCUUAACAGAGUGGGUGGUAUUUGCUUCAGUCCAGAAAAGCAAAUAACUCAUUCAAAGGUGAUAGAUUUUACUGGGGAGUGGAAAUAACAAAGCUGAGAAAUAAAAUAGAGCAAACAGAGUAUGAAAGCAUAUUAAAGUAACUGAAGGGGAGGAAGCUUUUCAGUAGAUUUGAAUAUCAAGGGAGGAAAGAGAAAAAGAGAGAAAAAUAAAAGAUAAAAUAGAGGAAAGCGGAGAAAGGGAUGGGGA